This 1088-nucleotide long non-coding RNA is filed under the name Ananas comosus (pineapple). Its description in RNAcentral is "long non-coding RNA (ACOM_LNC043787)". The record is from RNAcentral. Lineage: Eukaryota; Viridiplantae; Streptophyta; Magnoliopsida; Poales; Bromeliaceae.
CUCUCUCUCUUUGAUUAUAUAUAUAAUAUAUAUAAUAUUUAUUUUUUUUAUAUAAAUAUAUUAUUAUAUUAUAUUUUAUUUAUAACUAUAUAAUAAUUUAUUUUGGGAACAAAUAAAAAUAGUGAUUUCAUUCUAAUUAAUUUUUUUAUAUUUUUUUAUUUAUAAAUUCUACGCUGAUGAUAAUAAAAAAUAUUAUGCAUUUUUUUAAUAUUACAAUGAGUUUUUUUAUUUUAAAAUGGUUUACUUAUUGUAGUUAUUUAGUUUAGAUAUUUUCAGAAAAAAUAUAUUUUAAUUUUAUUUUUUAAUUUUUUAUUAUUCAAUAUUGCCGUUUUUCAAACCUCUUAAUUUCAUCGCAAUAAAAAUAGCAACCAGUUAAAAAAUAUUUUAGAGAAUGAAAUUAUCAUGCCAUCGCCUAUUUAACUUUUUUUUGCAUGCUAAUUUUGAUCCCUAAACUUUGCAAUUUUUUUUUUUCUUUAAUUUUCAAAACAUAUAUAAAUUGGCAACGUUAAAGAAGGCCUCUCCUUAUUUUGGAGGAUUGUAGGACCAACAUAAUUUUUUAAGGAUUAAUUGCACAUUGGUUUCUAAGUUUUUCACCAUUUUUUUAUUUUGGUCCCUAAUUUUUUUUUUUUCAAUUAAACUUUCAAAUUUCUCGAUUUUAUCGCAAUUAAAUGACACUGUUAAAAAGGAUUUUAGAAUUAACGUCAUUAUCAUGCCAUUGACUUUUUAAUUUUCUUUUGCAUAUCAAUUUUGGUUCCUAAAAUUUACAAAUUUUUUAUUUUAGUUCCAAAUAUAAAAAUUCAAAAUUUUACAUUUAAAUCCAAAAUUAAUCUUAAAAUUAAAAUUUUGAUCCAAUUAGUAAUUAGAGUUUUGAAUUAUAAUUUGAAUUCAAAAUUUAAAUUGAAUCUAAAUUUUUCAUUUCAAACUUAAAUUUUUUAAAUUUUGAUUUCAAACUUAAAUUUUGUAAAUUUUGGUUUCAAACUUUAAUUUUUUUAUUUUGAUUUUGAUAUUUGAAUUUACAUUCAAAAUUAAAAUUUUAAUUUAAAGUGAUAUAUCUUUUCGCCGCAUUGCGUGGGGCCCUUAACUAAUAU